This 550-nucleotide ribosomal RNA is filed under the name uncultured bacterium. Its description in RNAcentral is "partial 16S ribosomal RNA". It matches the Rfam family "Bacterial small subunit ribosomal RNA", at positions 355 to 914 of the family's 1533-position model. The record is from RNAcentral.
UGGGGAAUAUUGGACAAUGGGCGGAAGCCUGAUCCAGCAACGCCGCGUGAGGGAUGACGGCCUUCGGGUUGUAAACCUCUUUCAGCACAGACGAAGCGCAAGUGACGGUAUGUGCAGAAGAAGGACCGGCCAACUACGUGCCAGCAGCCGCGGUAAUACGUAGGGUCCGAGCGUUGUCCGGAAUUAUUGGGCGUAAAGGGCUCGUAGGCGGUUUGUCGCGUCGGGAGUGAAAACACCGGGCUUAACUCGGUGCUUGCUUUCGAUACGGGCAGACUAGAGGUAUUCAGGGGGAGAACGGAAUUCCUGGUGUAGCGGUGAAAUGCGCAGAUAUCAGGAGGAACACCGGUGGCGAAGGCGGUUCUCUGGGAAUAUCCUGACGCUGAGGAGCGAAAGUGUGGGGAGCGAACAGGAUUAGAUACCCUGGUAGUCCACACCGUAAACGUUGGGCGCUAGGUGUGGGGUCCAUUCCACGGAUUCCGUGCCGCAGCUAACGCAUUAAGCGCCCCGCCUGGGGAGUACGGCCGCAAGGCUAAAACUCAAAUGAAUUGAC